RNAcentral lists this ribosomal RNA (492 nucleotides) under uncultured bacterium. RNAcentral's name for it is "partial 16S ribosomal RNA". It matches the Rfam family "Bacterial small subunit ribosomal RNA", at positions 29 to 507 of the family's 1533-position model. The record is from RNAcentral.
AUUGAACGCUGGCGGCAUGCUUUACACAUGCCAGUCGAACGGUAACAGGCCUUCGGGUGCUGACGAGUGGCGAACGGGUGAGUAAUGCAUCGGAACGUACCCAGAGGUGGGGGAUAACGCAGCGAAAGCUGUGCUAAUACCGCAUGUGAUCUGAGGAUGAAAGCGGGGGACCGAGCAGCAAUGUUUGGCCUCGCGCCUUUGGAGCGGCCGAUGUCGGAUUAGCUAGUUGGUGGGGUAAAGGCCUACCAAGGCGACGAUCCGUAGCUGGUCUGAGAGGACGACCAGCCACACUGGGAAUGAGACACGGCCCAGACUCCUACGGGAGGCAGCAGUGGGGAAUGUUGGACAAUGGGCGCAAGCCUGAUCCAGCAAUGCCGCGUGCGGGAAGAAGGCCUUCGGGUUGUAAACCGCUUUUGGCAGGAACGAAACGGUGUCCGCUAAUACCGGGCGCUAAUGACGGUACCUGCAGAAUAAGCACCGGCUAACUACGUG